AGGGAUUCCCUCAUGGGAAUUCGAUCGAUGGCUUUUCGGAGCUUGAAGAAGAAGUUAAUGUUCACCCAGGUGGGCAUGUUGUGGCACCAGUUCACUCCCUAAGCCGUGAAUAUCUUGAACUUCCUAGUGAAUUUAACACAAAACCUACCUACCAUCAUGAUUUUGGCUCGUGGUCAAACUUCUAUCCUGACUCUCAAAAGGUGCAGCAAUGCCAAAUGAAUUGCUUUGAGAGCCAAUUUUACCCCUUUCCCAUGGAAACUCGAUUUCACUAUGCUCCAUUCAAUAUGCAUUCCCAAGGUUACCCGCAUCAGUUCCAAUUCCAAGAUUUUCAGUAUUUUGUAGUCAUAGACUUUGAGGUUACUUGUGACAAGGAAAAGAAUCCCCAUCCGCAAGAGAUAAUUGAGUUUCCAUCUGUCAUUGUGAGCAGUGUAACUGGCCAACCGGAAGCAUAUUUCCAGACAUAUGUGCGGCCAACUUGCAAUCAACUCCUUAGUGAUUUCUGCAAGGAUCUGACUGGUAUCCAGCAAAUCCAGGUUAGUGAGGAUACCCUUUACCUCAUAAAAAUGAUGCAUAAAUGUAUAUGUUGUUUGCAAUGUUUUGUGUAAGUAUCCAGUUGACAUUUAUUAGGUUAGCCCUUAUUUUCUGUUUGAAUGCUAGACUAUCAGUGCCAUUGUUCUAAUGGAUCUUGUUGUUAAUCAGUGAGGCAUUGUUGGUAGGAGCUACAUUAAAUUGACAUUUACCUUAUCUGGUGGAUUUGCAUUUUUUCAAGCAUUACUUCACUUUUGUCAUUUUAAUAAUUGUAAUUAGGGGCAAAUUGUUAACAUUUUGGAAAAAUCAGAGUGACUAGCGUUUUGGAAUUUCUCAAUUUGAAUUUGGAGAAAAAAAUAUGGGAGGGUAUUAUGGAGAUUCAUUAUAACUGGGAAAAGCAUCUGGUAUGCAAUGUUAUCCUCGCUGGGGCUUUUUCAAUUUAGAGUAAAAAAAAAGAUAUUCACAUCACUGGUAUUCCUUUUGUAGCUACCAUAGAUUAGAGAUUAUUUAACUCUUCCCAGUGAUUGUUAAAUGCACGAUAAUUUAAAUGAAUUAAAUUUUAAACUUAGUAAAACAAAUUUCUCCAUAAUGUACUGGGAAUAAACAUACCAGUUUCUUUUCUUGUUGGACAGGUAUUUUGGAAGCUUUCUAGUUCUACUUCUAGGCAGGGCUUAGAGUUUCAAACACCAUAGAUUAUAUCAUGUAAGAUUACCUAUUGUACCUGUCAAAAAAAAAAAAAAAAAAAAAAAAAAAUCAGUGAUGAUGAUAUAAGUCUAUAGAUUCAUUUUUUUCUCAGAUGUUUGUUGCUUUUGUUUUUACUGCAGAAACUAUUCAGAGGAGCUGUGAGGCAUCAUUAAAAUGCCUCCAGACCAAGGGAUUCCCUCAUGGGAAUUCGAUCGAUGGCUUUUCGGAGCUUGAAGAAGAAGUUAAUGUUCACCCAGGUGGGCAUGUUGUGGCACCAGUUCACUCCCUAAGCCGUGAAUAUCUUGAACUUCCUAGUGAAUUUAACACAAAACCUACCUACCAUCAUGAUUUUGGCUCGUGGUCAAACUUCUAUCCUGACUCUCAAAAGGUGCAGCAAUGCCAAAUGAAUUGCUUUGAGAGCCAAUUUUACCCCUUUCCCAUGGAAACUCGAUUUCACUAUGCUCCAUUCAAUAUGCAUUCCCAAGGUUACCCGCAUCAGUUCCAAUUCCAAGAUUUUCAGUAUUUUGUAGUCAUAGACUUUGAGGUUACUUGUGACAAGGAAAAGAAUCCCCA
RNAcentral lists this long non-coding RNA (1785 nucleotides) under Jatropha curcas. RNAcentral describes it as "long non-coding RNA (JCUR_LNC000940)". The record is from RNAcentral. Lineage: Eukaryota; Viridiplantae; Streptophyta; Magnoliopsida; Malpighiales; Euphorbiaceae.